UGAAUACGAGACGCUACGGCGUUGAAGCAGUCUAUGUCAUACUUCCAAGAAAAGCUCGCAAUGUCUUAAACAAAUAAUGCCUGUACCAUAACCGACACAGGUGGGUAGGUAGAGUAUACUAAGGGGCGCGAGAUAACUCUCUCUAAGGAACUCGGCAAAAUGACUCCGUAACUUCGGGAGAAGGAGUGCCUUAUUUAUAAGGUUGCAAUAACAAGAUCCAAGCAACUGUUUAUCAAAAACACAGGUCUCCGCUAAGUCGUAAGACGAUGUAUGGGGGCUGACGCCUGCCCAGUGCCAGAAGGUUAAAGAAGUUGGUUAGCAUUCGCGAAGCUGAUGACUGAAGCCCUGGUGAACGGCGGCCGUAACGAUAACGGUCCUAAGGUAGCGAAAUUCCUUGUCGGGUAAGUUCCGACCCGCACGAAAGGCGUAAUGAUUUGGAUACUGUCUCGGAGAGGGGCUCGGUGAAAUAGACUUGUCUGUGAAGAUGCGGACUACCUGCACCUGGACAGAAAGACCCUAUGAAGCUUUACUGUAACUUGAAAUUGAAAUUGGACUUUAUUUGCGCAGCAUAGGUGGGAGGCGUUGAGAAUAUUCUUGCGGGAAUGUUGGAGCCAUCAGUGAGAUACCACUCUUGUAAUGUUAGAUUUCUAACUUUGUAUCAUGAUCUGGUCAAAGAACAGUUUCAGGCGGGCAGUUUGACUGGGGCGGUCGCCUCCCAAACGGUAACGGAGGCGUACAAAGGUUUCCUCUGAACGGGUAGAAAUCGUAUCUAGAGUGUAAAGGCAUAAGGAAGCUUGCCUGUGAGACCUACAAGUCGAGCAGGGACGAAAGUCGGUCUUAGUGAUCUGACGGUGCUGAGUGGAAAGGCCGUCACUCAACGGAUAAAAGUUACUCUAGGAUAACAGGCUGAUCUCCCCCAAGAGUUCACAUCGACGGGGAGGUUUGGCACCUCGAUGUCGGCUCAUCGCAUCCUGGGGCGGUAGUACGUCCCAAGGGUUGGGCUGUUCGCCCAUGAAAGCGGUACGCGAGCUGGGUUCAGAACGUCGUGAGACAGUUCGGUCCAUAUCCGGUGUAGGCGUUAGAAUAUUGAGAGGAGCCUUCUUUAGUACGAGAGGACCGAGAAGGACAUACCUCUGGUGUACCAGUUAUCGUGCCAACGGUAAACGCUGGGUAGCUAUGUAUGGAGUGGAUAACCGCUGAAAGCAUCUAAGUGGGAAGCCCACCUCAAGAUAAG
This 1234-nucleotide ribosomal RNA is filed under the name metagenome. RNAcentral's name for it is "bacterial LSU rRNA". It matches the Rfam family "Bacterial large subunit ribosomal RNA", at positions 1564 to 2808 of the family's 2925-position model. The record is from RNAcentral.